Salvia miltiorrhiza (redroot sage) is the source of this 2473-nucleotide RNA transcript. RefSeq lists it as uncharacterized. The record is from RefSeq and is a predicted model, not a curated record. The transcript has 10 exons. NCBI's taxonomy places the organism in Eukaryota, Viridiplantae, Streptophyta, Magnoliopsida, Lamiales, Lamiaceae.
UUUCUUUUUGAGAAAAAAUUCUUGCUUAAUUAUCAUCACUUCAGCAGUCAUCAUCACUCAGCGAGCAGCAGAAAGGAAAAAUGGCGAUUUUGCCAACGCCAUUGCACAUUACAAGAAGUGAUUUUGUCCAUCCCAAUCCCUAUCUCGUCAGCGUGCCGUCGAAGCCCACACGCAGCUGCGCUCGCCGUCCGUUUGUUGUCACCUUUUCUUACAAACCCAGGAACGAAAUUACUGGUAAUGACAAGAAAAGGGAGUUCCUUGAGCAGUACGGUCUUAAUCCCGAUGAGUUCUUACCUAAACCAUCUCGGAAGGUAAAGAGGAGAGGAGAGCAACGAAAUCCAGAAGCGAGAAACAAUACACCACUGCAGGAGCCAAAGCCGCCGCGAGAGACACACAAACUGCUUCAGGUACUUGGAGGUACGGCUCGGAGGAAAAAGUUACUCUCACCGAAGAGUAUGGACGUGCGGCCUAUGAUGGAAGUUGUAAAAGGAGCAGCUUUUUCAAUUUUACAGGCAGCGGGUGGCUCGCCUCAGUCUCUGAGGCCCGGGCGCUGGUUAGACUUGUACAGCGGCACAGGAUCCGUUGGUAUUGAAGCUAUCAGUAGAGGAUGUUCUGAGGCUCACUUUGUGGAGAUGGAUCCUUGGGUUAUCUCGGAUGUGCUAAAGCCUAACUUGGAGUCAACUGGAUUCCUUGAGGCUUCGGUUAUACAUACUGCCCGUGUUGAAACCUUCUUGGAAAAUGCACAAAGAUAUCUAGGGAAAGAGGCGGCGUUUGAUUAUAUAAGUGUUACUCCUCCAUACAUGCUUGUAGAUUACACAGUUCUGAUGGAUCAGGUUUCUAAUUCAUCGGUGGUUGGGGAGAAUACAUUUAUAGUAGUUGAGUACCCUUUGAGAACUGACAUGCUGGAUUCGUGUGCGUGCUUGGUAAAGAUAGCUGAUCGGCGGUUUGGCAGGACACAUUUAGCAAUAUACGGACCGCAGUGGGCCCAAAAGAAGAGUAAACUGGAGACAUGACUAUCAUUAUUGCACAAAUGAUUAGAAAUUCGUAUGUACUCUGAUGAUUGCGAUCACGUUGCAGCUGAUCAGUCGACUUGCAAUGCAAGUGCAGCUUAUGCUCCAGGAACUAAGAGAACAAAAGAAAGCACAAGUAUGAUGCUCGAAAACGUGGAAUUUGCAGGCACACUCUUGAAUCUAAGGUGCAUACUCUCGAACUCGUACUCAUGGUUUCAUGCUUGAUCCGAUUCUCUCUUUCGCCACUCAUCUUUGCAAGGGAUAUGAAACUGAAGCCUAUAUCUGUGCACUAUACUCGAGUUUGAAUAUUUGCUUGAUAUACAGCUAAGUUUUAUGUCCCUUGAUUGGAAUAUACGCACUCGAAACACUGUUUAAAUUGCCUCUUGUUCAUUUGAAAUUGGUGUUGGGCCUUUUGAAUAAGAAACAAGAUUGAAGUUGUAGAGAUCUUGCUUUUUAGGACCAUAGAGUGUAGGUAUCCCCUAUUUUUGGACAUGUACGUAGCAGGAUGUAAUAGAGAUGGAAACGCAGUUGUCUUUAGACGCUCCAUUCGCCUUUUUUAGAGUUAAUAGUGUUUUAUGUCCGAACUUUCAGUGCUUUUCAUAAAAUAUCUCCAACUUUCGUUUUCUCCUAAGAAAUCCCGAACUUUCAGUGUUUUUCAUAAAAUAUCCCGUUAUACAAAAUCAGGUGAUCGAAAGAUGACUCUUCUCAGACUGAUUGCAGUUAAGUUUAGAAUCUUACACCUUCAAAUUGAUAAUUCAAGACUUGAGAUGAGUCAUCUUUCAAUCAACAAGACUUUGUAUAGCAGAACAUUUUAUGAAAAAUGCUGAAAGGUCUACGUUUUUUAGGAGAAAACAAAAGUUCAGGGUAUUUUAUAGAGAACGUUGAAAAUUCAAGAUUUUUUAGGUGAAAAUGAAAGUUCGAAACAUUUUAAACUCUGAAAAUUUAGGAUAUACUCACUCCGUUCACAAAAUGUUGUUCUAAUUUACCAUUUUGGUCCGUCCACAAAUAGUUGUUCUAAUAUAUUUUUAGUAGGUUCCUUUCUCCACUCACUAAUAUGUGGGCCUCAUUCUCCACUCACUAAUUUAAUUAACUUUUUCUACUUUUCUUCAUUUGUGGACUCCUUUCUCCACUCAAUAAAAAAACAGCACGAUUUUUCCUAAAACCCCUGCCUCCCUCCCUUAGGACAACAUUUGGUUGACAGAGGGAGUAAAACACUAUUAACCAUUUUUUUAAUCCAUUUUUUGUAGGCAAAUGGAGUUCGACAUAGUAACACAAAAUAAUAUAGACAGAAAUAUAUUUGUGUUUGUGUAUAUAUAGUUUAUGCAUGAAUAAUUUGUGGCAUUUCUUUACCGGCGUAUGCAUGAAUAGUUUGUGGCAUUUCAAACUUCUAUUUUGGUUUAAAAGAAAUAUUUAUUGUAAGAGAUGCUUAUUUUAUUUUAUGAAAAUCUGGCUGGGAAUUUUUA